GGUUAUCUCACAGCUCACUAGUACCUUUACUUGCAAUCACUUUUAUAGACAUUUUUAUUGACAUACGAUCUAAGUCCCACAAAGUAAAUUUUACUCUGUUCCCCAAUUUUACAGAUGAAGAAACUGAGGCUUGCAGAAGUGAAGUCAUCCAUGCAAUGGUGAUCUCGUGUGAUCCGUAACAAAACACAGAACCAAGACCUGGCCCUAAAGCUGUAAGAACAUCGUCCUGGCAUCUGGCCACAUCUAGCAGGUCCGGUUCCACGGAUCAUCUGAAUGGUCUCCAUGAAAGGUCUGAGGUAAACAGGGCUGGGGAGCUGACCCUCCAACCAUAUGAGAGGAGGAUUCUGAGACAAGAAGUUGUGAGACUUGCCCAAGGCCCUACAGCAAGGAAACCAAACAAUGCUCAAAGGGGUGAUCAGCUUUUGCUUUUUGGAUCAUUUGCCUUUGACUGGUCUUACAAACCCAAAUAAAGGGCAGAAAAGAAGAUUCUCCAAUAUGCCAGUGGCCAAAGGAAACAUUUCCCACUGACCCACAAAUGUCCAGGUAGUAAAUUGCAUUUGUGUCCUGGGUAAAGUUGUAAAUAACACUGUCAACGAUUGGACAAUCGUUUCUAGAUGUUAGUCUAUACUUCCAUGCCACGAGCUACCAAAUAAAUACUCCUGACAUGCUGGUUAUCUCUAGAAGCCAGACACAUAGCUUUGUUCAUCAAGAAAACAUUUGUCCUUGUUUUUAAAAAGAAAUUCUAAUUGCCAUCUCAAAGGCACCAUAUUUUUGGGACUUUGAGUAUUAUGUUUUCAUUUCCUUUGCCUGGUACACCUGCCUCUCCUUCAUCUCUGUACUUAAAUGAUUCCUCACUCUUUGUCCAGGCAAAUCCUCUGAUGUCAGUUUCUCCUAACUGAUGUCAUACCCGAAUAUCUUCCUUCUUUGAAUCCUCAAAUGAGACAGAUAGUCUGAUCU
Molecule: long non-coding RNA, 957 nt
Filed under: Mustela putorius furo (domestic ferret)
Lineage: Eukaryota; Metazoa; Chordata; Mammalia; Carnivora; Mustelidae
Description: lncRNA (ENSMPUG00000025449.1)
Source: RNAcentral